This 435-nucleotide ribosomal RNA is filed under the name uncultured bacterium. Its description in RNAcentral is "partial 16S ribosomal RNA". It matches the Rfam family "Bacterial small subunit ribosomal RNA", at positions 29 to 507 of the family's 1533-position model. The record is from RNAcentral.
AGCGAACGCUGGCGGCAGGCUUAACACAUGCAAGUCGAGCGGGCAUAGCAAUAUGUCAGCGGCAGACGGGUGAGUAACGCGUGGGAACGUACCUUUUGGUUCGGAACAACACAGGGAAACUUGUGCUAAUACCGGAUAAGCCCUUACGGGGAAAGAUUUAUCGCCGAAAGAUCGGCCCGCGUCUGAUUAGCUAGUUGGUGAGGUAAUGGCUCACCAAGGCGACGAUCAGUAGCUGGUCUGAGAGGAUGAUCAGCCACAUUGGGACUGAGACACGGCCCAAACUCCUACGGGAGGCAGCAGUGGGGAAUAUUGGACAAUGGGCGCAAGCCUGAUCCAGCCAUGCCGCGUGAGUGAUGAAGGCCCUAGUGUUGUAAAGCUCUUUUGUGCGGGAAGAUAAUGACGGUACCGCAAGAAUAAGCCCCGGCUAACUUCGUG